GUUGCAAUAACCAAUAAUCCCUAUCAGGGAUUGAAAC
Molecule: non-coding RNA, 37 nt
Organism: Planktothrix serta PCC 8927
Lineage: Bacteria; Bacillati; Cyanobacteriota; Cyanophyceae; Oscillatoriales; Microcoleaceae
Source: Rfam